This 430-nucleotide ribosomal RNA is filed under the name Chytridiomycota sp. Its description in RNAcentral is "SSU rRNA". It matches the Rfam family "Eukaryotic small subunit ribosomal RNA", at positions 1341 to 1791 of the family's 1831-position model. The record is from RNAcentral. Lineage: Eukaryota; Fungi; Chytridiomycota.
CCUUAGUCUGCUAAAUAGACAGGCUCACUUUGGUGGGUUUUGUCUUCUUAGAGAGACUUCUUACGCAUAGUGAGAGGAAGUUUGAGGCAAUAACAGGUCUGUGAUGCCCUUAGAUGUUCUGGGCCGCACGCGCGCUACAAUGAUGGAGGCAGCAAGUAAUUCACCUUGGCCGGAAGGUCUGGGUAAUCUUGUGAAACUUUAUCGUGUUGGGGAUCGUCCCUUGUAAUUAUUGGACGUGAACGAGGAAUUCCUAGUAAGCGCAAGUCAUCAGCUUGCGUUGAUUACGUCCCUGCCCUUUGUACACACCGCCCGUCGCUACUACCGAUUGAAUGGCUUAGUGAGACCUCCGGAUUGACGGUUUUUGGGCCGCAAGGCCUGAUGGCUGUUGAGAAGCUGGUCAAACUUGGUCAUUUAGAGGAAGUAAAAGUCG